CUUGACGACCAUAGAGCGUUGGAACCACCUGAUCCCAUCCCGAACUCAGAAGUGAAACGACGCAUCGCCGAUGGUAGUGUGGGG
RNAcentral lists this ribosomal RNA (84 nucleotides) under Aquipseudomonas alcaligenes. The record is from RNAcentral. Lineage: Bacteria; Pseudomonadati; Pseudomonadota; Gammaproteobacteria; Pseudomonadales; Pseudomonadaceae.